Molecule: ribosomal RNA, 252 nt
Filed under: uncultured bacterium
Lineage: Bacteria
Description: partial 16S ribosomal RNA
Rfam family: Bacterial small subunit ribosomal RNA
Source: RNAcentral
UACGAAGGGUGCAAACGUUGCUCGGAAUUAUUGGGCGUAAAGGGCGCGUAGGCGGCCAUCUAAGUCAGACGUGAAAUCCCCCGGCUUAACCUGGGAACUGCGUCUGAUACUGGACGGCUUGUAGUUGGAGAGGGAUGCAGAAUUCCAGGUGUAGCGGUGAAAUGCGUAGAUAUCUGGAGGAAUACCGGUGGCGAAGGCGGCAUCCUGGACCAACACUGACGCUGAUGCGCGAAAGCUAGGGGAGCAAACGGG